Molecule: ribosomal RNA, 436 nt
Filed under: uncultured Porphyromonadaceae bacterium
Lineage: Bacteria; Pseudomonadati; Bacteroidota; Bacteroidia; Bacteroidales; Porphyromonadaceae
Description: bacterial SSU rRNA
Rfam family: Bacterial small subunit ribosomal RNA
Source: RNAcentral
CAGCAGUGAGGAAUAUUGGUCAAUGGGCGGGAGCCUGAACCAGCCAAGUCGCGUGAGGGAAGACGGUCCUAUGGAUUGUAAACCUCUUUAGGCGGGGAGCAAUGCCGGGCACGUGUGCCCGGAGGGAGAGUACCCGCAGAAUAAGCAUCGGCUAACUCCGUGCCAGCAGCCGCGGUAAUACGGAGGAUGCGAGCGUUAUCCGGAUUUAUUGGGUUUAAAGGGUGCGUAGGCGGAUUUUUAAGUCAGCGGUAAAAUGUCCGGGCUCAACCCGGGCCGGCCGUUGAAACUGGGGAUCUUGAGUGGGCGAGAAGUAUGCGGAAUGCGUGGUGUAGCGGUGAAAUGCAUAGAUAUCACGCAGAACUCCGAUUGCGAAGGCAGCAUACCGGCGCCCGACUGACGCUGAGGCACGAAAGCGUGGGGAUCGAACAGGAUUAGA